RNAcentral lists this ribosomal RNA (491 nucleotides) under uncultured bacterium. RNAcentral describes it as "partial 16S ribosomal RNA". It matches the Rfam family "Bacterial small subunit ribosomal RNA", at positions 29 to 506 of the family's 1533-position model. The record is from RNAcentral.
AGUGAACGCUGGCGGUAGGCCUAACACAUGCAAGUCGAACGGCAGCACAGUAAGAGCUUGCUCUUGCGGGUGGCGAGUGGCGGACGGGUGAGGAAUACAUCGGAAUCUACUUUUUCGUGGGGGAUAACGUAGGGAAACUUACGCCAAUACCGCAUACGACCUACGGGUGAAAGCAGGGGAUCUUCGGACCUUGCGCGAUUGAAUGAGCCGAUGUCGGAUUAGCUAGUUGGCGGGGUAAAGGCCCACCAAGGCGACGAUCCGUAGCUGGUCUGAGAGGAUGAUCAGCCCCACUGGAACUGAGCCACGGUCCAGAUGCUUACGGGAGGCAGCAGUGGGGAAUAUUGGAAAAUGGGCGCAGGCCUGAUCCAGCCAUACCGCGUUGGUGAAGAAGGCCUCCGGGUGGUAAAGCCCUUUUGUUGGGAAAGAAAAGCAGCAGGUUAAUACCCCGCUGUUCUGACGGUACCCAAAGAAUAAGCACCGGCUAACUGCGU